GAAAGUUACUAAGGGCGCACGGGGGAUGCCUUGGCUCUCAGAGGCGAUGAAGGACGUGAUAAGCUGCGAUAAGCGUCGGGGAGGUGCAAAUAACCUUUGAUCCGGCGAUCUCCCAAUGGGGUAACCCAUCCGUUUGAAGACGGAUAUCUGCUCUAUAGCAGAAGCUAACGCAGGGAACUGAAACAUCUUACUACCUGCAGGAAAAGAAAACAAUAGUGAUUUCCUAAGUAGUGGCGAGCGAACGGGAAAAAGCCCAAACCACAAUUGUUAUGGCAAUUGUGGGGUUGUAGGACUGCCAUCUCAGCCAAAUUACAGAUAUUCGAACACCCCUGGAAAGUGGGGCCAUAGAGGGUGAUAGCCCCGUAGAAAAAAUCUGUAUCCGGCUUCGGCAGUAUCCUGAGUAACGCGAGACCGGAGAAAUCUUGCGCGAAUCUGCCAGCACCAUCUGGUAAGGCUAAAUACUACUGAGAGACCGAUAGCGAAUAAGUACCGUGAGGGAAAGGUGAAAAGUACCCCAAACAGGGGAGUGAAAUAGAACCUGAAACCGUGCGCCUACAAGCGGUCGGAGCGCUGAGUUUAACGAAGCGUGACGGCGUGCCUUUUGCAUAAUGAGCCUACGAGUUACGCCUCUCUGGCAAGGUUAAUUCCGUUAACGGAUGGAGCCGAAGCGAAAGCAAGUCCUAAUAGGGCGCUGAGUCAGAGGGGGUAGACGCGAAACUUUGUGAUCUACCCAUGGCCAGGCUGAAGUCCCGGUAACACGGGAUGGAGGGCCGAACCGGUAAACGUUGAAACGUCUUCGGAUGAGCUGUGGGUAGGGGUGAAAGGCUAAUCAAACUGAGAGAUAGCUCGUACUCCCCGAAAUGUUUUUAGGAACAGCCUGGGGUAUACUGUCUUAGAGGUAGAGCUACUGAUUGGAUGAGGGGGUCUCACCGCCUGCCAAAUCCUGACAAACUCCGAAUGCUAAGACAUAUUGCCCUGGAGUGAGGCCGUGGGUGCUAAGGUCCAUGGCCGAGAGGGAAACAACCCAGAUCAUCAGCUAAGGUCCCUAAAUGUAUGUUCAGUUGUUCUAACGAGGUCUGAUUGCAUUGACAGCUAGGAUGUUGGCUCGGAAGCAGCCAUUCAUUUAAAGAGUGCGUAACAGCUCACUAGUCGAGCGAUCGGGCGUGGAUAAUAAUCGGGCAUAAACAUACUACCGAAGCUAUGAAACUCUCCCUUAAGGAGAGUUGGUAGGGGAGCAUUCCAGUCUGCACCGAAGGUCCAUCGUAAGAUGAACUGGAGCGUCUGGAAAAGAAAAUGUAGGCAUAAGUAACGAUAAUUCCGGUGAAAAACCGGAACACCGAAAGACUAAGGUUUCCUGAUCAACGCUAAUCGGAUCAGGGUUAGUCGGGACCUAAGGCGUACCCAAACGGGAUAGCUAAUGGACAUCAGGUUAAUAUUCCUGUACUUCCUUACAGUGCUAGGUAGGGACGUGAUCAUCAGGUGCUUACGUACUGACGGAAUAGUGCGUCGAGCCUAGCCUUUGGGCGAAGCAAAAGCAAGUAGUGUUCACCAAGAAAAGCUACCAAAGCUUCAGCUGUAAGGAACUCGUACCGCAAACCGACACAGGUAGUCGAGGAGAAUAUCCAUAGGUGCUCGAGUGAUUCAUGGCUAAGGAACUAGGCAAAUUGACCCUGUAACUUCGGAAGAAAGGGUCCCUGCUUCGGCAGGGCGCAGAGAAAUGGCCCAGGCGACUGUUUAACAAAAACACAUGGCUUUGCUAAAUCGAAAGAUGAUGUAUAAGGCCUGACACCUGCCCGGUGCUGGAAGGUUAAGGGGAGAGGUUAGCCCUCAAGGCGAAGCUUCAAACUGAAGCCCCAGUAAACGGCGGCCGUAACUAUAACGGUCCUAAGGUAGCGAAAUUCCUUGUCGGGUAAGUUCCGACCUGCACGAAUGGUGUAACGAUCUGGGCACUGUCUCAGCCAUGAGCU
Molecule: ribosomal RNA, 1967 nt
Filed under: terrestrial metagenome
Description: bacterial LSU rRNA
Rfam family: Bacterial large subunit ribosomal RNA
Source: RNAcentral